RNAcentral lists this long non-coding RNA (1401 nucleotides) under Musa acuminata (dwarf banana). RNAcentral's name for it is "long non-coding RNA (MACU_LNC011518)". The record is from RNAcentral. Lineage: Eukaryota; Viridiplantae; Streptophyta; Magnoliopsida; Zingiberales; Musaceae.
AAGAAUCAUUAUACAAUGAUCAUGCCGACGGGUAAGAGGUAGGUUGCGCGGUUCGUCAAAUAUAUCUGAAAAUUCAGCAAGCAAAGGAAGUAGAUUUGGAUCUUCAAAUUUUGUUGGCUCUCCCUUAGUUUGUUGCUCAAGUUGUACCAAAAAGCCGCUGCAUGCUUUAUGCAAAACCUUCUCCAUUUGUUGUGUGCAAAUCGUCGUUACGUCGCCCUCACGUUUCCCGUGCAGUAUCACCUGUUUCUCCUUACUGUAAAAUUUUAUAAUUAGUUGCAUAAAAUUCCAAGAAAUAUCACCUAAUGUCAUCAACCAUUUAAUUCUGAGUAUGGCCUCAUGAUCAUUAAGAGGGAGGAGGAAGAAAUCUGUAAUUAUCUCUUGGUCCUGCAACAACAGUUUUACCUGCGGGCACCUAUGAUCACACUUCAAAAUCCGUCCGUUGGCAACCUUAACGACAAACCUGCUGUAAUUCUCAAUAGGUAGGUUCAUAUAGACAACAACCUUACUGUUUAGGAAGUUAUUAGUGCUGCCCGUGGCGAUGAGAACAGUGAUCGGUUGUUGUUUGAGAAGGCCUCCAACUUUCAUCGUUUGUGGGAUUGAGUAGCCAACUAGUGUAUGUACCGUAACUUUGGUCGGUUGUGGCUCUUCUUCUGCAUCUUCUUCUUCAUGUUCAAGGCUCUCUUUUGGAUGUUCAAUGACCUCUUCUUCAUUGCUUCUAUUUUGGAGGGAUCCACCAUCACACCUUUCUCUGAUAUGAUAUGCCCAAGAUAUUCCAUCUUUUGUUGAAGAAAGCAAAAAUUCAUAGUGGUCGUUGUGUGUUCGAAAGAUGAUUUUUGAUAUGCCUUUUUCACACACUCGUAUUUGAUGAUACUCGAAUCGAAGGUCCAGCUUUGUGAAGAUUUGUGCUCCCUUUCAUCUAGUAAUUCAUCUACUAAUAGAAUAGGGUAUUUAUCCUUGAUGGUUAUGCCAUUAAGAGCUCGGUAAUCAACGCAUAUUCGCCAUGUUGCGUCCUUCUUGCGUACAAGUAGCACCGGUGAAGAGUAGAGGCUGCAACUUGGCCGAAUAACUCCUAUUUCAAGCAUCUCUUUUACAAUUCUUUCUAUUUUAUCCUUCUGGAGAUGUAGAUACUGAUAUGGUUGAGUAUUUGCUGGAGGUUUUCUUGGAAGAAUCGUUAUAUAAUGAUCAUGCCGACGGGUAAGAGGUAGGUAGGUUGUGCGGUUCGUCAAAUAUAUCUGAAAAUUCAACAAGCAAAGGAAGUAGGUUUGGAUCUUCAAAUUCUAUUGACUCUCCCUUAGUUUGCUACUCAAGUUGUACCAGAAAGCCACUACAUGCUUUAUGCAAAACCUUCUCCAUUUGUUGUGUGCAAAUCGUCAUUACGUCGCCCCCACGUUUCCCGUGCAG